AUGAACACACCGCCAAGGAAGUUCUGCGGAGGCGCUGGCGCCACCUGGUGGUUCCCUGUAUAUAUCGCGAGCUUUCCCGGCCACCCGGGCCGCAGCCCACUGUGCACUGAACCGACAGAAAAGACAAAUAACUGGAGCAAGGUCCCGCGGGAGCAGCUGGCCACCAAGGCUGUCCAUAAAAGUGCUCUUCCCACCAGCGGCGUGAAGGGCCCCCGCCCCCCCCCCACCGUGGCCCUGUGGGAGAUCCGGGGCUACCAGAAGUUGACCCACAAGCUACCUUUCCAGUGGCUGAUGCUCGAGAUGGCACAGCACUUCAAGACCGAUCUGCGCUUUUGAUGGCGCUGCAGGAGGCCAGCGAGUCCAACCUGGUGGGGCUGUUUGAAGACACGAACCUGUGCGCCAUCCACACCAAGCGCAUGACCAUCAAGCCCAAGGACAUCCAGCUAGGCCACGGUAUACGUGGGAAAUGGGAAGCGAGCUUAAGGACCCCCAAAACCGGAGGGUUGUCACCGGCCGGUUCCCCAGCACAGAUCCACGAAUACGACGUGGGAGAUUGGGUGUUUGUUCGGAGACGCUGCCCGGAGACUUUGGAAGCUCAGUUGAGAGAUCCGAUCCAGAGCCUUUGGAUACGAUGGAACUUCGAGGUGAGCGCGCAGUUUAACUUAAGCCCGCUCUCCGCGGAUGCGGCGGGCCAGCUGGAUGUCCUUGGGCAUGAUGGUCACGCGUUUGGCGUGGAUGGCGCACAGGUUCGUGUCUUCAAACAGCCCCACCAGGUAGGCCUCGCUGGCCUCCUGCAACGCCAUCACCGCCGAGCUCUGGAAGCGCAGGGCCACGGUACCUGGCCGGUAGCGGUGAGGCUUCUUCACACCACCGGUGGCCGGGGCGCUCUUUCGGGCAGCCUUGGUGGCCAGCUGCUUCCUCGGGGCUUUGCCCCCGGUCGACUUGCGGGCAGUCUGCUUGGAUACGAGCAACACGGCUUGGAUGUUGGGCAAAACGCCACCCUGGGCGAUGGUGACUUUGCCCAACAGCUUGUUCAGCUCCUCGUCGUUGCGGAUGGCCAGCUGGAGAUGACGGGGGAUAAUGCGGGUCUUCUUGUUGUCGCGGGCCGCGUUGCCCGCCAGCUCCAGGAUUUCCGCGGUCAGGUACUCCAGAACGGCCGCCAUGUAGACUGGCGCACCAGCUCCCACCCGCUCAGCAUAGUUGCCUUUGCGGAGAAGGCGGUGGACUCGGCCCACCGGGAAUUGAAGGCCUGCGCGGGACGAGCGGGACUUGGCUUUGGCGCGAGCUUUGCCUCCUUGUUUACCACGGCCAGACAUGACAGCAACGUCCGCCCUCACCAGACCUGUCUCGAAAGACGAAAAAUGUAUGAACAGCUUUUCACAGACAAGGUGGAUGGCUCUGAAAAGAGCCUUUGGAGCAAAGACGCCGGAAACUGCAAAAGCGGCGGGUCCCAUAAAGGGACUCACUUGGAGCUGGUGUACUUGGUGACAGCCUUGGUGCCCUCGGACACGGCGUGCUUGGCCAGCUCACCGGGAAGCAGUAGGCGCACAGCAGUCUGGAUCUCCCGGGACGUGAUGGUCGACCGCUUGUUCUCCGCCCAAUCGGGGGGGAGAGACUGCGCCUAUAAAGACUGCGGCGGCGGCCAGUCGGUCCUGUUCUUUCUGCCCGCCGUCCGUUGGCUCUUCUUCUCGUUCACUAUGGCCCGUACCAAGCAGACUGCCCGCAAAUCGACCGGGGGCAAAGCCCCGAGAAAGCAGCUGGCCACCAAGGCUGCCCGGAAGAGCGCGCCGGCCACCGGCGGCGUGAAGAAGCCUCACCGCUACCGGCCAGGCACCGUGGCCCUGCGGGAGAUCCGGCGCUACCAAAAGUCCACCGAGCUGCUGAUUCGCAAGCUACCGUUCCAGCGGCUGGUGCGCGAGAUCGCGCAGGACUUCAAGACCGACCUGCGCUUCCAGAGCUCGGCGGUGAUGGCGCUGCAGGAGGCCAGCGAGGCCUACCUGGUGGGGCUGUUUGAAGACACGAACCUGUGCGCCAUCCACGCCAAACGCGUGACCAUCAUGCCCAAGGACAUCCAGCUGGCCCGCCGCAUCCGCGGAGAGCGGGCUUAAGUUAAACUGCGCGCUCACCUCGAAGUUCCAUCGUAUCCAAAGGCUCUUUUCAGA
This is an RNA transcript of Chrysochloris asiatica (Cape golden mole), 2162 nucleotides long. RefSeq lists it as uncharacterized. The transcript has 10 exons. NCBI's taxonomy places the organism in Eukaryota, Metazoa, Chordata, Mammalia, Afrosoricida, Chrysochloridae. The record is from RefSeq and is a predicted model, not a curated record.